UCUGUGAUCUAGAGGUAAUGUACUUGCCUCGAAACCUCGGGGUCCCGGGUUCGAUUCCCGGUUGAGGAA
This 69-nucleotide transfer RNA is filed under the name Rhamnusium bicolor. RNAcentral describes it as "tRNA-OTHER". The record is from RNAcentral. Lineage: Eukaryota; Metazoa; Arthropoda; Insecta; Coleoptera; Cerambycidae.